This 253-nucleotide ribosomal RNA is filed under the name uncultured bacterium. Its description in RNAcentral is "partial 16S ribosomal RNA". It matches the Rfam family "Bacterial small subunit ribosomal RNA", at positions 524 to 776 of the family's 1533-position model. The record is from RNAcentral.
UACGCAGGUGGCAAGCGUUGUCCGGAAUUAUUGGGCGUAAAGCGCGCGCAGGUGGUUCCUUAAGUCUGAUGUGAAAGCCCACGGCUCAACCGUGGAGGGUCAUUGGAAACUGGGGAACUUGAGUGCAGAAGAGGAAAGUGGAAUUCCAAGUGUAGCGGUGAAAUGCGUAGAGAUUUGGAGGAACACCAGUGGCGAAGGCGGCUUUCUGGUCUGUAACUGACAAUGAGGCGCGAAAGCGUGGGGAGCAAACAGG